GUGCUCGCCUCGGCAGUAUGUAUACUAAAAUUGGAACGAGGCAGAAAAGAUUAGCAUGGCCCCUGUGAAAGGAUGACAUCCAAAUUCGAGGAACCUGAGGCCAUAGA
Small nuclear RNA from Phyllostomus hastatus (greater spear-nosed bat), 107 nucleotides. NCBI's taxonomy places the organism in Eukaryota, Metazoa, Chordata, Mammalia, Chiroptera, Phyllostomidae. The record is from RefSeq and is a predicted model, not a curated record.